AGAGAAAGAGGCAACUACAUUGCCUGGAGGAAGCCUAAGGAACCCAGGCAUCCAGCUGCCCACGCCUGAGUCCAAGAUUCUUCCCAGGAACACAAACGUAGGAGACCCACGCUCCUGGAAGCACCAGCCUUUAUCUCUUCACCUUCAAGUCCCCUUUCUCAAGAAUCCUCUGUUCUUUGCCCUCUAAAGUCUUGGUACAUCUAGGACCCAGGCAUCUUGCUUUCCAGCCACAAAGAGACAGAUGAAGAUGCAGAAAGGAAAUGUUCUCCUUAUGUUUGGUCUACUAUUGCAUUUAGAAGCUGGUGAGUGAUUUUAUUUAAAAUCGGGUGGUCUGAGAACCUUUGAGGAGUUGGGAGAGAAAUGUGACCACUACUGGGGCCAGCUCUGCUUCUCUUCCAUAGAGUGAGGAUCAUCAUUUUACUCGAAUCACUUCAGCCUAACAAGCAACAAAUUCCAAUGAGACUAGCACCUCUGCCAACACUGGAUCCAGUGUGAUCUCCAGUGGAGCCAGCACAGCCACCAACUCUGGGUCCAGUGUGACCUCCAGUGGGGUCAGCACAGCCACCAUCUCAGGGUCCAGCGUGACCUCCAAUGGGG
This 597-nucleotide small RNA is filed under the name Homo sapiens (human). Its description in RNAcentral is "mucin 21, cell surface associated (multiple genes)". The record is from RNAcentral. Lineage: Eukaryota; Metazoa; Chordata; Mammalia; Primates; Hominidae.